CACGCCGUAAACGAUGAUCACUCGCUGUUAGCGAUACACAGUUAGCGGCUAAGCAAAAGCAUUAAGUGAUCCACCUGGGGAGUACGGCCGCAAGGCUGAAACUCAAAGGAAUUGACGGGGGCCCGCACAAGCGGAGGAACAUGUGGUUUAAUUCGAUGAUACGCGAGGAACCUUACCUGGGCUUAAAUGUAGAGUGCAUUCCCGAGAAAUCGGGAUUUCCUUCGGGACUUUCUGCAAGGUGC
This 242-nucleotide ribosomal RNA is filed under the name uncultured Bacteroidota bacterium. RNAcentral's name for it is "uncultured Bacteroidetes bacterium partial 16S ribosomal RNA". It matches the Rfam family "Bacterial small subunit ribosomal RNA", at positions 796 to 1041 of the family's 1533-position model. Lineage: Bacteria; Pseudomonadati; Bacteroidota. The record is from RNAcentral.